RNAcentral lists this transfer RNA (86 nucleotides) under bacterium. Its description in RNAcentral is "tRNA-Leu". It matches the Rfam family "tRNA". Rfam says of the family: Transfer RNA (tRNA) molecules are approximately 80 nucleotides in length. Their secondary structure includes four short double-helical elements and three loops (D, anti-codon, and T loops). Further hydrogen bonds mediate the characteristic L-shaped molecular structure. tRNAs have two regions of fundamental functional importance: the anti-codon, which is responsible for specific mRNA codon recognition, and the 3' end, to which the tRNAs corresponding amino acid is attached (by aminoacyl-tRNA synthetases). tRNAs cope with the degeneracy of the genetic code in two manners: having more than one tRNA (with a specific anti-codon) for a particular amino acid; and 'wobble' base-pairing, i.e. permitting non-standard base-pairing at the 3rd anti-codon position. The record is from RNAcentral. RNAcentral also lists the same sequence under 1 other name.
GCGGAUGUGGCGAAACAGUAUACGCGCCGGAGCGAGAAUCCGGUGAGCGCAAGCUCGUGAGGGUGCGACUCCCUCUGUCCGCACCA